UCGAGGAUCUUCGGCAAUGGGCGCAAGCCUGACCGAGCGACGCCGCGUGUGGGAUGAAGGCCCUUGGGUCGUAAACCACUGUCAGAGGGGAUGAAAUGCGGGAGAGCAAUCUCUUCCGUUUGACAUAGCCUCAGAGGAAGCACGGGCUAAGUUCGUGCCAGCAGCCGCGGUAAUACGAACUGUGCAAACGUUAUUCGGAAUCACUGGGCUUAAAGGGUGCGUAGGCGGCCAUGUAAGUAGGGUGUGAAAGCCCCCGGCUCAACCGGGGAAUUGCGCCCUAAACUGUGUGGCUAGAGUGAGAUAGGGGUGUACGGAACUUCCAGUGGAGCGGUGAAAUGUGUUGAUAUUGGAAGGAACGCCGGAGGCGAAAGCGGUACACUGGGUCUCAACUGACGCUGAGGUGCGAAAGCUAGGGGAGCAAACGGGAUUAGAUACCCCGGUAGUCCCUGAGCGGGCUGGCAAGGCGCAU
Molecule: ribosomal RNA, 469 nt
Filed under: uncultured bacterium
Lineage: Bacteria
Description: bacterial SSU rRNA
Rfam family: Bacterial small subunit ribosomal RNA
Source: RNAcentral